CUGCAGCCAAUUAAGCCGACUGAGUUCCUUUCCUCAUGGGGGCCCAGUGUGCAAUGGCUGCAAACAGUAGCUUCUCUGGUAGUGAUGCAGCCUGUUUGUUGUAUGGGUUGCUCUAAGGGACCUUGGAGACAGAC
Small nucleolar RNA from Piliocolobus tephrosceles (Ugandan red Colobus), 134 nucleotides. Its record names the gene SNORA70. It matches the Rfam family "Small nucleolar RNA SNORA70". Rfam says of the family: snoRNA U70 seems to be exclusive to mammals and is a member of the H/ACA class of snoRNA which contain H (ANANNA) and ACA box motifs. H/ACA box snoRNAs are involved in the conversion of uridines to pseudouridines (5-ribosyluracil) a constituent of structural RNAs (transfer, ribosomal, small nuclear, and small nucleolar). NCBI's taxonomy places the organism in Eukaryota, Metazoa, Chordata, Mammalia, Primates, Cercopithecidae. The record is from Ensembl.